GACGUCGCAUGUCUGGCUGCACUGCUCUGGGAACUUAGAGCAAAGGACCGGUGUGCAGGAUGCCCGAGUGACGCCCCCAUGAUCCCUCAGUUCGCCGGUUCUCCUGGCUUCCUCUGGGCAACUCUCAUUCCGGGUGCCCUCAUCCGCCCUGCCCCCUGGUGUCAGCCACACGCCUCCGCACCCUGCGCCGGCUUCCUGGGGUGGGGUGGGGUAGGUUGCAGGGAGUCCCAUCCCCCAUCUCCAGGGACUGAUGAUGUCUAGAUGGCUCUGACUCCAGAGGCCCUGGCAGUGGCCCCUCCAAAGGCCAUCUUGCACCUGUGACUACAUUUUGCCCUAGCAGUACUGAGACGUCUGCCUCUGUAGGACAGCUUGGAGCAAGAACUGGCCACCAAAGCAGUACGGGUGCUGAGCCUUUUGGUAGUCCAGAGACCUGGGGGUCUGGGGGUCUGGGCUAGUCCUUGCAUUACUAAACUAGUUGGUGCACCCGUGAUGGCGGACAAUGUCCCAGGCGCUCUGAACUCUCCUGCUUGGGGGUCUCCGUAGAAGGAGAAUAAGUGGAACCAGAUGAAACCCUCACCAGCUUUACUGUAAGCACAGAACAAGCCUCCUUUCACUGACGUCUGGAUUUACCCUCCUUCAGAAGAAAUCCCUGGACAUCUCACCAUGGAGUGGCCUCUGUGUCUCCUGCUCUCUGGAUCUGAGUGUCCUGCAUGCUUGCAAGUUUCUUCUGGCCUCUAGCAGAGACCCUUGGGAAGUUCCUUGUCACCACAUCCACUGAAUCCCACUGCAGUGAUUGACGCUCUGCCCUUUGGUGAAUGGAGAGAGGAGACAGGCUGCUGUUUCUCCUACCCAAGCCUAGCAGGCAAGAAAUUCCCAGCACUGGUUUGCUAAUGAUUGACAGAAAGUGGCUGAAGUCCCCACCUGCUGGUGAUGUGGUAACAAGGAUGGCCUGAUUGCUGGUGACAGCAUGGACAAGGAUGGCCCACCCGCUGGUGACAGCUU
Onychomys torridus (southern grasshopper mouse) is the source of this 1002-nucleotide long non-coding RNA. RefSeq lists it as uncharacterized. The transcript has 4 exons. Lineage: Eukaryota; Metazoa; Chordata; Mammalia; Rodentia; Cricetidae. The record is from RefSeq and is a predicted model, not a curated record.